UGCUUACACAUGCAAGUCGAACGAUGAACCUCCUUCGGGAGGGGAUUAGUGGCGAACGGGUGAGUAACACGUGGGCAAUCUGCCCUUCACUCUGGGACAAGCCCUGGAAACGGGGUCUAAUACCGGAUACGACCUCCGACCGCAUGGUCUGGUGGUGGAAAGCUCCGGCGGUGAAGGAUGAGCCCGCGGCCUAUCAGCUUGUUGGUGGGGUGAUGGCCUACCAAGGCGACGACGGGUAGCCGGCCUGAGAGGGCGACCGGCCACACUGGGACUGAGACACGGCCCAGACUCCUACGGGAGGCAGCAGUGGGGAAUAUUGCACAAUGGGCGAAAGCCUGAUGCAGCGACGCCGCGUGAGGGAUGACGGCCUUCGGGUUGUAAACCUCUUUCAGCAGGGAAGAAGCGAGAGUGACGGUACCUGCAGAAGAAGCGCCGGCUAACUACGUGCCAGCAGCCGCGGUAAUACGUAGGGCGCAAGCGUUGUCCGGAAUUAUUGGGCGUAAAGAGCUCGUAGGCGGCUUGUCGCGUCGGAUGUGAAAGCCCGGGGCUUAACCCCGGGUCUGCAUUCGAUACGGGCAGGCUAGAGUUCGGUAGGGGAGAUCGGAAUUCCUGGUGUAGCGGUGAAAUGCGCAGAUAUCAGGAGGAACACCGGUGGCGAAGGCGGAUCUCUGGGCCGAUACUGACGCUGAGGAGCGAAAGCGUGGGGAGCGAACAGGAUUAGAUACCCUGGUAGUCCACGCCGUAAACGUUGGGAACUAGGUGUGGGCGACAUUCCACGUCGUCCGUGCCGCAGCUAAC
This 798-nucleotide ribosomal RNA is filed under the name Streptomyces sp. DB9. RNAcentral's name for it is "bacterial SSU rRNA". It matches the Rfam family "Bacterial small subunit ribosomal RNA", at positions 45 to 856 of the family's 1533-position model. Lineage: Bacteria; Bacillati; Actinomycetota; Actinomycetes; Kitasatosporales; Streptomycetaceae. The record is from RNAcentral.